This is a small nuclear RNA of Coniophora puteana RWD-64-598 SS2, 190 nucleotides long. It matches the Rfam family "U2 spliceosomal RNA". From Rfam's summary of the family: U2 is a small nuclear RNA (snRNA) component of the spliceosome (involved in pre-mRNA splicing). Complementary binding between U2 snRNA (in an area lying towards the 5' end but 3' to hairpin I) and the branchpoint sequence (BPS) of the intron results the bulging out of an unpaired adenosine, on the BPS, which initiates a nucleophilic attack at the intronic 5' splice site, thus starting the first of two transesterification reactions that mediate splicing. Lineage: Eukaryota; Fungi; Basidiomycota; Agaricomycetes; Boletales; Coniophoraceae. The record is from Rfam.
UUACCACUCUGGCCUUUUGGCUUAGAUCAAGUGUAGUAUCUGUUCUUAAUAGUUUAACCACUAUUACGAUCGCAUUGCGAUCUAAUCUGGUUAUCAAAUUUUUGCCGCCCUCGCCUUUCGAGCUCUGCUUGCAACUCGAAGGGCACGAUGACCUUGCUACUGCAGUAUCGGCUUGUGUCGUCGGGGGAUC